UCCGGCUUAUCACCGGCGGUUUCCUUAGAGUGCCCAACUUAAUGAUGGCAACUAAGGACGAGGGUUGCGCUCGUUGCGGGACUUAACCCAACAUCUCACGACACGAGCUGACGUCAGCCAUGCAGCACCUGUCACUAGGUCCCCGAAGGGAAGGAGUCUGUCUCCAGAAACCGUCCUAGGAUGUCAAAGGCUGGUAAGGUUCUGCGCGUUGCUUCGAAUUAAACCACAUGCUCCACCGCUUGUGCAGGCCCCCGUCAAUUCCUUUGAGUUUUAACCUUGCGGCCGUACUCCCCAGGCGGGGCGCUUAAUGCGUUAGCUGCGGCACGGAACCCAUGGAAUAGGCCCCACACCUAGUGCCCAACGUUUACGGCAUGGACUAC
This 380-nucleotide unclassified non-coding RNA is filed under the name uncultured Sphingomonadaceae bacterium. RNAcentral's name for it is "contains 16S-23S intergenic spacer region". The record is from RNAcentral. Lineage: Bacteria; Pseudomonadati; Pseudomonadota; Alphaproteobacteria; Sphingomonadales; Sphingomonadaceae.